AUUUAAACCGGAUUGAAACGGUAUCCUUUUUUGUUUUCACUAACUUAAUGAAGCAGAUGCCUAAACAAAAAAGAUUUAGUGUAAAGCCGGGCUACCA
Pedobacter ginsenosidimutans is the source of this 97-nucleotide non-coding RNA. Lineage: Bacteria; Pseudomonadati; Bacteroidota; Sphingobacteriia; Sphingobacteriales; Sphingobacteriaceae. The record is from Rfam.